UUAUAUUUACUUUAUUAUUCUUGUGAUGUGAUUGCAUAUUCUGUUUGACUUGUUACCUAUCCAUUAUUAUAUCUUCCCUUACUUGUACUUGAUAUUACCAUAUACUUGACUUGUAUUUCUUUUAGAUGUUUUGCUAUGCUAUAUGUGGAAAUUAUAGAACUAUUAGUGCAAGCGGUGUUGGAUACCUUUUUGGGACAUUUUCCGAUUGCCGGUGAGAUGCCCUUAGUGUGUAUUUUUUAUGUUGUAUUUUCUAAUUUCCUCAGUUGGCCUAUAAUACCUACUAAGUAUAAGUGGAUUGUACUCACUCUUAUUGUACCCUUUCGGUCCAGUUUUAGGUUUGGGUGCGCCUCACGGUGUUUCAUUUCAAGCGU
RNAcentral lists this long non-coding RNA (371 nucleotides) under Capsicum annuum. RNAcentral describes it as "long non-coding RNA (CANN_LNC012403)". Lineage: Eukaryota; Viridiplantae; Streptophyta; Magnoliopsida; Solanales; Solanaceae. The record is from RNAcentral.